This 638-nucleotide ribosomal RNA is filed under the name Paenibacillus alginolyticus. RNAcentral describes it as "bacterial SSU rRNA". It matches the Rfam family "Bacterial small subunit ribosomal RNA", at positions 60 to 687 of the family's 1533-position model. Lineage: Bacteria; Bacillati; Bacillota; Bacilli; Caryophanales; Paenibacillaceae. The record is from RNAcentral.
AGUCGAGCGGAUUAUCCUUCUGAGUGAGGUACGGGAGGACGGGUGAGGAACCUCUGGGCUUCCUGCCUAUAAAACUGGGAUAACUGUCGGAAACUAUAGCUAAGACCGGAUAAUUGGUUUUCUCGCAUGAAAGGAUUAUGCCCGACGGAGAUUUCUGGGGUGUAUAGAUGGGGCUGCCGCGGGUUACCUAGUUGAUGUGGUAACGGACUACCAACGGGCACACGGGUAGUGGAACUGAGAGGGUGCUCGGACACACUGGGACUGAGACAAAUCCCAGACUCCGACGGAAGGCCUGAUCCAGGAAUGUUCCGCAAUGGAUGAAAGUCUGACGGAUGAACAGCGCUUGUGCGAUGAAUGAUUUCGAAUCGUACAGCUCUGUUGCCCUAGACAAACUCCGAGGAGAGAAACUGCUCUUUGCGUGACGGCAUAGGAGAAGAAAGCCCCGGGUAACUACGGGCCACACGCCGCGGUAAUACGGAGGGGGCAAAGGUUGUCCGGAAUUAUUGUCCAUAACUGCGCUUUAACGGGGGUUCUUAAGUUGGGUGGAUAAGCCCGGGGCUCCACCCCGGUACGGGUUCAAAACUGAGAUACUCGAGAGAACGAAAGGGAAAGAGGGAUUCCCCCUGUACUGGUGUAAU